This 1290-nucleotide ribosomal RNA is filed under the name Janthinobacterium sp. RNAcentral describes it as "bacterial SSU rRNA". It matches the Rfam family "Bacterial small subunit ribosomal RNA", at positions 73 to 1363 of the family's 1533-position model. Lineage: Bacteria; Pseudomonadati; Pseudomonadota; Betaproteobacteria; Burkholderiales; Oxalobacteraceae. The record is from RNAcentral.
ACGGAGCUUGCUCUGGUGGCGAGUGGCGAACGGGUGAGUAAUAUAUCGGAACGUACCCUGGAGUGGGGGAUAACGUAGCGAAAGUUACGCUAAUACCGCAUACGAUCUAAGGAUGAAAGUGGGGGAUUCGCAAGAACCUCAUGCUCGUGGAGCGGCCGAUAUCUGAUUAGCUAGUUGGUAGGGUAAAAGCCUACCAAGGCAUCGAUCAGUAGCUGGUCUGAGAGGACGACCAGCCACACUGGAACUGAGACACGGUCCAGACUCCUACGGGAGGCAGCAGUGGGGAAUUUUGGACAAUGGGCGCAAGCCUGAUCCAGCAAUGCCGCGUGAGUGAAGAAGGCCUUCGGGUUGUAAAGCUCUUUUGUCAGGGAAGAAACGGUGGGAGCUAAUAUCUUCUGCUAAUGACGGUACCUGAAGAAUAAGCACCGGCUAACUACGUGCCAGCAGCCGCGGUAAUACGUAGGGUGCAAGCGUUAAUCGGAAUUACUGGGCGUAAAGCGUGCGCAGGCGGUUUUGUAAGUCUGAUGUGAAAUCCCCGGGCUCAACCUGGGAAUUGCAUUGGAGACUGCAAGGCUAGAAUCUGGCAGAGGGGGGUAGAAUUCCACGUGUAGCAGUGAAAUGCGUAGAUAUGUGGAGGAACACCGAUGGCGAAGGCAGCCCCCUGGGUCAAGAUUGACGCUCAUGCACGAAAGCGUGGGGAGCAAACAGGAUUAGAUACCCUGGUAGUCCACGCCCUAAACGAUGUCUACUAGUUGUCGGGUCUUAAUUGACUUGGUAACGCAGCUAACGCGUGAAGUAGACCGCCUGGGGAGUACGGUCGCAAGAUUAAAACUCAAAGGAAUUGACGGGGACCCGCACAAGCGGUGGAUGAUGUGGAUUAAUUCGAUGCAACGCGAAAAACCUUACCUACCCUUGACAUGGCUGGAAUCCCUGAGAGAUCGGGGAGUGCUCGAAAGAGAACCAGUACACAGGUGCUGCAUGGCUGUCGUCAGCUCGUGUCGUGAGAUGUUGGGUUAAGUCCCGCAACGAGCGCAACCCUUGUCAUUAGUUGCUACGAAAGGGCACUCUAAUGAGACUGCCGGUGACAAACCGGAGGAAGGUGGGGAUGACGUCAAGUCCUCAUGGCCCUUAUGGGUAGGGCUUCACACGUCAUACAAUGGUACAUACAGAGCGCCGCCAACCCGCGAGGGGGAGCUAAUCGCAGAAAGUGUAUCGUAGUCCGGAUUGUAGUCUGCAACUCGACUGCAUGAAGUUGGAAUCGCUAGUAAUCGCGGAUCAGCAUGUCGCGGU